Molecule: long non-coding RNA, 364 nt
Filed under: Cavia porcellus (domestic guinea pig)
Lineage: Eukaryota; Metazoa; Chordata; Mammalia; Rodentia; Caviidae
Description: lncRNA (ENSCPOG00000031466.1)
Source: RNAcentral
AUGUGUUUUCAUAACAGAAGAAUGAUGUGGGUGGAUGAUGAUGAUUAUGAUGAUGACAAUGAUGACUUUGACAUUGACCAUAUGAGACAAAGUUCCUGUAACAGUGAAAUGGAGCAAGAAUUGACUGAUACAGACACAGGACUGGCCACGUGGUUGAAUGCUCCUCAGAUGCUAGGAAUAUGCAACAUCUGGAUGUGAUUCUUAAGAAGUUGUAUUCUCUCAUGUUGACAAGCCUACUGCAUGCAUGCAUGCCACAGCUGGCUGUUUACCAUUGAAAGCUCUAAAAGGUUUGCCAUCACUAUUAUAAGUCCAUUUGCUUAAAAUGAAGCUAGAAUUCAGGAUAGAGUAGAAAUAUGGAAAUAAU